UGAUGGCUGAUGGCAUCUCAACUGCCUGACGACAACUUUACUUUGAACCCUUGCCCUGCACACGGGGUGUCCCUGUGACUUGGGUUGGAGUUAAGAGGGUCUACAUGGAGUGUGCCCGGCGUCCCGGACCUAAGCUGGCUUCUCCUCUCCGUGUCCACGCUCCCCACGCCUCCCGCGGGGGCUUUUGUGCUCAGCGUUGAAGGCGCAGCAAUUGCCAGUCACUCGGGCAAGUUUCUGCAGCACCUAAUCUGCUCACUGUUGCUUCUGUGCCAUUUUGAUUUUCAGUAAGUACGGUUUUCAUUUUAAAUCCAUUGAUUCCUUGUCACAGAUUGUUCUCUUUCCAAAAUUGCGCCUUAUGAUCCUUGAGGAUCCAAAUCCAGACUUUCAGGUGAUUUCUCCUUUUGCUUGAGCCAGUCUGUUUCCUGGAGGAACGUCUGCUCCGACUCCACACGCGGCCAGGGGUUGGUCUGGUUUGGCUUUGCCGCUGUUGUGCCCGCUUGCCCUGCCAAGGGUCUGCUGCCCCCAGUUAGACUCUCCAGAGCUGAGACCAGGGAGUGGAGGAGUCAUGUUCCAGGCACUGAGUUUUCCUGGUGAGCUUCCCGGAGUGUGGGGAGGCGGGGAUGGAUUUAGAACUGGGAGCGAGGUGGCAGGUCCGGUGCAGAGCUAGGGUUUAUUUCCUGUCUCUCGGGCAGAGUCUCAUCACUCGCUGACCAGCCUGCCCAGCCCUGCCCUGCGUGUGCUUCCCGAGGGCGUCUGCCACCAAGGCCAAGGGGGCGGCUGCGGGGAACGUCCUCAGCUGCCACUGGGGCUUGUGUUUGCCUCCACCCUCCCCAGAACCCAUGCGUUUUCUCUGUGGGGUUUUUCUCCCAUUUCAUGGGAUUCAAGUCUUCUUGCCUCUUUUUCGAGGACACCAAACAGAUGUUCUGCAAAGCAUUCUUCCCUUCCCUGCAGACAGUGAUUUUAGAGCUCUGCUCUUUCUCUGAGUCCUCCAGAUAACAUGUUGUUUCCCUCGAGCUGCAGAGCUAUUCCUGGAAACUUCUUCUGAAUGUUUGCUCAUGUUUGAAAACGGACAAAAGGGUACCCAAGCCCGGCAGCUGGCAGAUACAGAAUCAGUCACUACUCAGCUGGAGCUGGAUCUCAGACCUUAAUACGGCAAUGAUGCCCUCCACAGACCAGCAAUUUCUGUGAUUAGAGGGUCAGAUGUGGUCCAAAGACCUUUGUAGGGUUCUGUGGUGAGUAAAAUCUACCCACUGCAUCAUGUACCUCUCCCCCGGCCAUGGUCCCCAAAACCACACGUGUUGAAACUUAACGUGAUGGUAUUAGGAGGUGGGGCCUUUGGGCAGUGAUGAGUCAUAUGGGAGGUGCCCUCACGAAUGGGGUUAGUGUCCUUGUAAAAGAGGCCCCAGGGAGCUGCCACGACCCUUCCACCAAGUGAGGGCACAGCGAGACGGUGCCACCUAUGGCCCAGGACUCAGACAUGUGCAGAGUCAUGAUGUCGCACUUCCAGCCUCCAGAACUGUGAGAAAUACAUUUCUGUUGUUUAUAAGCUGCCCAGUCUGUGGUAUUCUGCUAUAGCAGCCUGAACGGACUAACGCAUACAUCUUUUCUCUUGAUUUCUCUUUUUCAAAAUA
Non-coding RNA from Microcebus murinus (gray mouse lemur), 1631 nucleotides. Lineage: Eukaryota; Metazoa; Chordata; Mammalia; Primates; Cheirogaleidae. The record is from RefSeq and is a predicted model, not a curated record.